RNAcentral lists this long non-coding RNA (543 nucleotides) under Elaeis guineensis (African oil palm). Its description in RNAcentral is "long non-coding RNA (EGUI_LNC013950)". Lineage: Eukaryota; Viridiplantae; Streptophyta; Magnoliopsida; Arecales; Arecaceae. The record is from RNAcentral.
CAUUCUGUGUGUAGAAAAUCAUAAUAUGCCACGGGAUGUCAUAAUUUUUUUUCAAAAAACAGCGAUAUUUUCAUCAUACAAAAUUUUUAAAUGAAAAAAUGAAACUGUAAAUAUUAAAUAUGCGUUGAAAAUAGGGGUACAAAUGGGUCGGAUUGGAUUGGAUCAUGAGCAUUUAAAUCCAAAAGUAAAUAUCAACCCAAGUCUCAAGAUUCAGAAUUAAAUAACUAUAAAUUCAUGAUCAUAAAAUAAACUAAACCUCCACUAUAAAAUUUUUAAGCUUACUUCACAAAUCUCCAAACCUGAAUUUCCUUCACCAAUCCGAACCUUAUUCCUCUGUACAAAAAAAAUAAAAAUAAAAAAAAUAUGAGCUACCCUAGCCCAGUAUGUAAAACAUACACUUUAUCAAAUCCAGUAAAUUUUUUCAUGAUAAUGUAAUAUUUAGAAAAUAACAGAUAAUAUAAAAUAAAGUAUUUCAUAAAGCAUAUAAUAAAAUAAGUCAUAAACCAAUCAUGCAUGUAUAAAUCAUGAACAUUUCAUAAACAU